RNAcentral lists this ribosomal RNA (750 nucleotides) under Coemansia helicoidea. RNAcentral describes it as "eukaryotic LSU rRNA". The stretch from base 224 to 374 matches the Rfam family "5.8S ribosomal RNA". Lineage: Eukaryota; Fungi; Kickxellomycota; Kickxellomycetes; Kickxellales; Kickxellaceae. The record is from RNAcentral.
UCCGUAGGUGAACCUGCGGUGGGAUCAUUAUCGAUCUACCAUAGACGCGCGUCAGCGCGGCUAUGGCGCUGGCAGGCGGUCUUGACUGGCUGUCGGCACACCCAACGUGCGGAAAAGAGUACUAUCUGGUCGUUGCUCCUUUGGGGCGGCGUCCUACUCGCUGUAAAGCACUGCCGGACCACAAAAGUAUACUGGUGAGACACAAUCUACACACAAUAGUUACAACUAUACAUGGUGGAUCACUUGGCUCUCGCAUCGAUGAAGAACGCAGCGAAUUGCGAAAAGUAUCGUGACUUGCACCCGCGUGAAUCAACGAGUAUUCGAACGCACCUUGCGCCCUGUCAUUUAGGCAGGGCAUGUCUGUAUGAGCACCAGCCCAUCCUCCCCACUGCCGCGGCCUGUCGAUUCGGCUUGCCGACGGCGGCGGGGGAUUUAUGAGCGCUCCACCUCGCCAAGAGGUGGUCGCUUGAAACACGGGAGAGCCCCCCCUCUAUCCAGAAGGGAGGCAGGGACUGGCCGUCUCGAGCCGGCUAUUCUGCCGCUGCUGCCGAGACUGCGAGCUUUUAUGGUUGGGCACCCGCCCACUACUCUUGCUUGCAGUUGCCCGAGGCCGCAGCGGCGCACGCUGCUCACCAACCAGACGCGCCUGGCACCCAGCACUGCUCCGCCAAGCUGCAAACCAUACUACCACAAUGGUAUCAUAUCAGGCAAGACUACCCGCUGAACUUAAGCAUAUCAAUAAGCGGAGGA